Molecule: long non-coding RNA, 221 nt
Organism: Xenia sp. Carnegie-2017
Lineage: Eukaryota; Metazoa; Cnidaria; Anthozoa; Malacalcyonacea; Xeniidae
Exons: 3
Source: RefSeq, a predicted model, not a curated record
GCUGAUUGAGAGCUGUGCAAGUGCACCCGAGAAUUGUACAAGGAAUAUAAAAUCGUUGCAGUAAUGUAGAAAUAUACUGAUUUGGCGAAGAGUGCUGUGAACAAAGUAGAAAACCACUGUAAAACUUCUUCUGGCGUUUAUAUUGAGAACGUCGAUUCUGCAACCAGUGAAUAACAGACAUCGUUGUAUCGGAAUAUCUACGUCAGCUACGCAGGCUUGUU